AGAAUCAACGCUGGCGGCGUGCCUAACACAUGCAAGUCGCACGAGAAAGGGGAGCAAUCCCUGAGUAAAGUGGCGCACGGGUGAGUAACACGUGAAUGAUCUACCUCCGAGUGGGGAAUAACUGAGAGAAAUCUUAGCUAAUACCGCAUAACACUUACGAGUCAAAGCAGCAAUGCGCUUGGAGAGGAGUUCGCGGCCGAUUAGCUAGUUGGCGGGGUAAUGGCCCACCAAGGCGAUGAUCGGUAUCCGGCCUGAGAGGGCGCACGGACACACUGGAACUGAAACACGGUCCAGACUCCUACGGGAGGCAGCAGUGGGGAAUUUUGCGCAAUGGGGGAAACCCUGACGCAGCAACGCCGCGUGGAGGAUGAAGCCCCUUGGGGUGUAAACUCCUUUCGAUCGGGAAGAUAAUGACGGUACCGAUAUAAGAAGCCCGGCUAACUUCGCGCCAGCAGCCGC
This 459-nucleotide ribosomal RNA is filed under the name uncultured bacterium. Its description in RNAcentral is "SSU rRNA". It matches the Rfam family "Bacterial small subunit ribosomal RNA", at positions 26 to 518 of the family's 1533-position model. The record is from RNAcentral.